This 307-nucleotide long non-coding RNA is filed under the name Triticum aestivum (bread wheat). Its description in RNAcentral is "long non-coding RNA (TAES_LNC015593)". Lineage: Eukaryota; Viridiplantae; Streptophyta; Magnoliopsida; Poales; Poaceae. The record is from RNAcentral.
AACCGACACAGCCGACAACCGUGAAAACCCUAUCUUUCAAGGUUCUUUUUACCUCACACAGAUAUAUCAAUAUAAUUUUGGUUCAAGCUAUAUAGGAGGCAAAAUCCGACUCUCCCGACAACACAUGCGGCUCUGGACGUCCUCUGGUGAGGCAGAACCCAAAUGAUCCGACCGGUUGACCUUGAAGACUGACCAUUGACCAAGCUGCACCACGGACGAUGCAGCCCAAGGACUGACCCUGCUUAGACUGACUUGACGACUGCUUGAGACCAGACCGACAGGACCCAACAAUGACUCGAACGACAAG